ACUGAGUGUACGCUGGUAAAAGUUAAAAGCAGAAACGAACUGAAAACAGAGAGAGAGAGAGUAAGACAGGAACCACUGAAGCUGCUGUAAAGUGUAGAGACAGACAGGCGCAGACACUGACAGUCAGUAGUGAACACAAACUGUGGUCCACAUUAAUGCAGAGUUACAUGUAAGAGGGGAUUUAAAUAAAACAUCUGAGACACAGAAAGACUUCAGGUAACAAGAUGUUGUCUACAAAGGGGGAGCAGAGAACAUUCAGCAAUGGGCGUCUGAGAGACCAGUGGGAGAAGAGAGCCCAGAGCAUCGCCGACGACAACAAAAAAGAGGAACAAUGGAAGCAGAAAAGUUCCACCAAUCUAUAACUGGUCCAAAGGUACUUGUUUAUGGAGCUUGGGCUGACUUGAAAAGACGCAGAAGUUUGUUUCUGGUCAAACAUUUUUAAAAAGCUACUCUCAAAAUGGAACUAUCACUGGCUGGUUGCUAAUGGAGACAAGAUGAAAGAUGGCAUGAGUGAGUUUAAGAGGGUCACAAGUGGUGCAGCUGAAGCAGAAAAAAACAAGCCCAGAAUUCGAUUCAAAGUUGUCCCUCCUCCUCCCAAACCCAAAGCCGAGCCUCCUCCUCCACCACCUCCUCCGAGAAGGUCAACAUCACCCAGACUUCGAAGGCAAAAGCGCAAAGUAGAGGUUGAUGCAUUUCGAAUUUGCUGGAAGGACUCCUGGAUGAGCUUGAAGCCACCAAAGUAUCUUUUUCUGAAAGCCCAAGAGUUGCAAACCAGAAUUCUAGGGUUCACAACCAUAGAGCUAACUAAGAACAGCAAGUACAAAGCAAAGGGAAGCGGACUGAAGGGUGAAUGGAUGUUUCCUGCUCAUAAGUGGAAUCAAUCCUGGAAACAGGUGAAGAGUCCAGGCCAGGUGGAGCUUUCUGAGGCAAAACAGUUUCACUGGGAUAUUCUAUUUCAAAGAGAGAACGUUUGUAAGGUUGCGAUAGAAACAUAUUCUCUUCCUGUUUGGGCUGGUACCUGGAAGAUCAUGAACUUUCCCUUCAGGCAGGAGAAAAAGGACUGGGAUCAUAUCUGGACUGACUACCAACAAAACCUAACCAACAACUUUGAUCAAAUACAACAGCUAGAGGAGGAGGAUGAACCCUUUGACUGGGAGGAUUCAUGGAAAAUGUCUGGAGCAGAUUUUGAAACAAACGACUUCACAGAUGAUGAGACGCUAAGUGAGAGUUCCUUCAGUGCGGACGCUGAAGUUAUGAUGACUAUAACUGAUGUGUGCGUACCAGGAUGGAGCAAAUCCUGGCUACUGUCAGCAGCUCCUCCAGAGGAAGGUGAAGAACGGCAGAAAAGCUGGAGCACUUGCUGGGGAUAUAAGCAGCAGCUCAGGUGGUGCAAAGCUUCUGUAAACUCCAAUCAUCAACACAGUGCCAUGCUGGAGAGAAAACGCAAAGCUACAAACUUCCUCUUCACAUCAGAGUUGGACGAGGAGAUGACAGACACCACUGAGUGGAUGGAGGCCUGGAAGGCUCCAAGAGGAUGGUUUAAGGUAGAGGAGGAGGAAACAGAGGAGGAGGGGGAAGCAGAGGAAAUAUAUGUCAAAGGGGAGGAGGAUGAUGAAGGAGUGAAUAAUGAGGACAGAGAUAUGGAUGAGGAAGAGGAGGAUGGAAAUCUGGAUGGUGUGGAGGAGGAUGAAGGAGUUGAAGAGGAGGAAGCUUUCAAUAAAAAUAAUGUGGACAAAAAACUAGAAAAGGAGAGAAAAAUAGAAAUAGUUAUAGAAAAGAAAGAAAAAGCCCUUAACAAGAAGGCUGAAGAUGAUGAGGAAGAAGAUGAAGGAGUGGAUGAAAAUGAGGAGGAGGAGGAAGAAGAGUAUGAAGAUACUGACAACAAGAAGGAGGGCAAGGAAGAAGACAAUGAAGAGGAACAGGAUGAAGAUGGUGGAAGGGAGGAUGGAAACAAAAAAGGCAAUCAAAAAGAUGACAAUGAAACAGAUAACGAUGAGGAGGAGAAAGAAGAGGAGGAGGUGGAGGAAGGGGAUGAAAAAACUAAGGUAGAGAAGCAGGAAAAAGACACAAAUGAAAAUGAUGAGGGUGAAGUAGAAGAGGAAGAGCAGGACAGUGAAUUGAAUGAAGAUGAAAGGGAUGACAAAGUGGAAAAGCUGAAUGAGGAAGGCACAGACGAAGAAGAGGAAGUGAAUGCAGAAAUAAAGGAAGAAGAGGAGGAGGAAGACAUAGAAGAUGAGGAAGAGGAGAACAAGAAUGGCAUAAAUGAGGAGAAAGGAAACCAUGAUGGUGGCAGGGAUGAAGAUGCAGAGGUAGAUGAGGAAGAGGAGGAAGAUGAAGAUUAUAAUAACAAUGAUGAUGAAACAAAUGUAUGUGAAAAAGAAAAAUACAAAGAGAUGGACAAGAAAGAUAAAGGUGGAGAAGAAGAAGAAGAAGAGGAGGAAGAAGAAGAAUCAAAAGAAGGAAAAGAAGAAGAAGCAAAAGAAAAAGAAGAAGAAGAAGAAGAAGAAGAAGAAGAAGAAGCAAAAGAAGAUGAAGAAGAAGCAAAAGAAGGUGAGGAAGAAGAAGAAGAGGAAGAAGAAGAAGAAGAAGAAGAAGCAAAAGAAAAAGAAGAAGAUGAAGAUGAAGAAGAAGAAGAAGAAGCAAAAGAAGGAGAGGAAGAAGAAGAAGAAGAAGAAGAAGAAGAAGCAAAAGAAAAAGAAGAAGAUGAAGAAGAAGAAGCAAAAGAAGGAGAAGAAGAAGAAGAAGAAGAAGAAGAAGAAGAAGAAGAAGAAGAAAAGGGAGAGGGUGGUGGGGAUGAAAAAAAUGAAACAGAAAGAAAUAAGAGUAGUAGGGUUAAUGUAGAUAAGGAGGAAGAUGAAAAAGAUGAAGAUGAUGACAAAGCUGAUGAAGAUGAAGAAGAGGAUGAUGUGCAAAAGAAUGAAGGCAAUAAUGUAGAUAGCGAGGAUGAAGAAGAAGAGAAGGAAGAAGAGGAUGAAGCAGACAACGACCAGGAGAGUGAUGAGGAUGGUAAAGACAGAGAGGAGAAUGAAAAUGUUGACGAGGAGGAAGGUGGUGUAAUAUUUGAGAAAGAUGAAGAAGAAAUUAAAGAGAAUGACAAAAAAGCUGACCAUCACAAGGAUGAGGAAGAGGAGGAGGAGGAUGAAGAGAAGGAGGCUGGUGAGAAAGAAAAUGAAGCAGAGGUUAUAGUAGAGAAAAACACAGAAGAAGAAAAGAAGGUGAAGAAGUCACAGAAAAGAAUGAAACAUAAGCCCGAUGUCCCGCUCCAUCUGCAGUUCCACAAACUGAACGCCUGCUUUCCCUCCUGGAAGCAGUCAUGGAUGGUGGCAGUAGCUCACAGAGGAGGUUGUGAUGCUGAGGAUGAGGCUUACGAAGAGGGUGAGGAAUCGGAAUUGAGAGCUUGGAAGGACUCAUGGAGGAUUUGUCGCUAUAGAAAGCCAGAUGAUGAUGACGUGGUGUGUUUCUCUAUGGAGCACCGGAGUCAGCGGUAUAUGGGACUGACGCAUGAAGAAGACAGCAUGCCAAACAGUGAGUGGACUCUGAGCUGGAAAAUGAACAAAGAAAAAGAUGAAGAUGCUGAAGAUGAAGAAGAAGAAGAAGAUGAAGAAGAAGAAGAAGAAGAAGAAGAAAGUUAAAAUUUUCUGAGAGGGGAAAUUAGAAGUGCUGGGUAUUAUUUAUACCUGAUAUGAACUAAAUGUGUCAAAAGCUGGGAUUGUCAUGUCUUAUUUCAGAUGCUGACCAGAGAUACUUUUAAUCCAAACUUCUGUUCUGCAUGUUUACGUUUAGGCUAGGCUACUGGAAAACUGCAAAAAGAUAUUUAUUUCAACUGUUGAUGCCAUCAACAACCUCACAUGCCCAGAAGGAAGUAACUAAUACAGUUGGCAACAUGUCUGUGUUUACUUUAGGUCAGAUUUGAAAACUACUGAUGAGUCGUGAUUUUUUUUUUCUUUCUUUACGCUUCUUAUAUAGUUUGGUGCUGUUUUGUGAUCCUUCUUGCUUGAGUGAAUGUCAACAAUGAAAAGUACAAAGUUAGCAUGACAAUUAACGGUAGCUAUGCAAGCUAGCCAACUCUCAGUCGGUAAAAACAAUAGCAUUUACAUAAGCCCGGAAAUCCACAGUUCAUUAUCAGUGGCUUUCAGCAAGAGUUCUCCAGGUUUUCUUAAGGUCUUUGAGAGUUUUUCUUUUCAGUCAUUUUCAGUCCAUUCCUUUUCCUUCCCAUUUUCAGAGAAAUUAUUUUUUGUUGUGUAUUUGUUAAGCAUGAGCCACUUAACACUGGCCACCUAACUCAAUGGAUAAAAGAGUGUAACCUAUGCAUAACAACUGAGCAAAGAACCAGUUUUAAAGCAUUAUUUUACAAAGUUUUUUUUGUUACAAAGACACAUAAUUUAAUAAAACUCAUGAAACAGUAUUUCUGCACAAAACAAACAAUUAUUAAUGGAAAACAUGGCUUAUAUUGACAUGGUGUGCAGAGUGUCCUUAACAACUUUGAGGAAACUGAUCAAAUGGAGGACAAAGAAGGUGCAGAAAAUGAAAACAAUAUGUAACAGUAUCUUUAUCCAGUGUCCUGCAUCUGGCAUUUGAUUCAUCUCCUGUUUCCCAAAGUCCCAUCAGAAGUGGUCUCAGUGGAAAGGUGGCUGUCAAGAAGCCAUUCAUACAGAGGGGAGACAGGGAGAGAGGCUGAGAAGUGCCAAAUUACACAAGUACUGGACUAAAAAUGCAGUGGUUGAAACAAAGAUAAAGUGGUUGACAGCUUAAGAAGAAUGUAGGAAAGGAGCCAAAUGCCAGUUGGCCUCUUUACACUCAGCAUUCGAUGCUAAACUAAUUUGAUAAGUACACUCAGGGAGGAUAUCCUCCAGAAAGGCCAGCAUAAAUUUCACAAUUUAACUUUUAAAAAAGUUAUCCAGAUCAAAAGCAUAAAAUGUUAUGGGUUCUUCACUUGCUGAUGCUCCAGAGCAUCAUUUGAUUAAACUUUAUAAAAUCUUCAUCUUUGACACUAGAAAUUUGAUAUUAAAAAUGAUAACAUACAAGGAAGUGUCCUGCUAUAAGAUUACAUAUUAUUAUUUUCACGUUUACAGUUAUAGCUGCUUUUUCAUCCUGUGUUACUAAAUUUCUGCUAACUGCCUUCUACUGCUAGACUGUUUGUGUCAUUAGACACCAAAGCUCUGAGGGUGUUGUGAAGAUGUACAAUUUACCCCACAUCAAAACAUAAAAAUCAAUAGCCAAGCAGUGAGCAGCUAAUGGCUGUAAUUGGUUAACACAAUGUACUGACGGGGUAAAAUAUGAAGCACUUUAAGAGAGGUGACUGAGGUUUGUCUGAUUUUUAAAGUAAGAAAAUGUCAUAUUGGUGUUGUGUAGAUGGAAGAGGCUGUGCAGAGAUCAGUCUUAAACAUUUAUAUGGUGAUGUGCGUCUUUACUGCACUCUUUUAUGAUACAGUGAAGAUCAAACUGCAACUUUUAUUAAAGUUAUAAACUGUGAAUUUUACAGAAAAAAACUGCGUGUUUGUUUUCGCACAACUUAUUCACACUUAAUAGCACUACAUAAGCACAUUUUCAGUAUUUUAGUUUCUUCCUGAGAGUGAGCGGUCAAGACUGAUGUCAGUCUGCUUCAUGUGUGCAGAUCAAAAUCUCUGUCUUUAGAAAUUGAAAUAAGUUUAUCCAAAGUAUUUUGAGAAAUCAUUAAAAGUAAAAAAAGAAAGAAAGAAAGAAAGAAAGAAAGAAAGAAAGAAAGGAAGGAAGGAAGGAAGGAAGGAAGGAAGGAAGGAAGGAAGGAAAGGAAGGAAAAGAGAGACCCAAACUGAGUUCUAGUGUGGAUUUAAAUUGGAUCUUGGAUUUAAAUUCAAAUUCAAAUUCAAAUUCAAAAUUUAUUUGUCACAUACACAGUACGAUAUGCAGUGAAAUACUUAGACAACUGCUCGUGACCUAAAGAAAAAACGACUAUGAAUAGGAUAGGAAAUAAAUAGGAAAAUUAAAAUGAAGGGUAAAUUUCACUAGGAAAGAAUAAAUAAAAUAUAAAAAUUAAAGUUAAAAAUAAAAUAACUGUACAACAAAAUACACAAUAUACAAACACACAAUAUAGAAAUGUAUAAGAAUAUAUGAAGAAAUAUAGAACAACAACAGCAGCAGUACAAGUACUAAAUGGUAAUUAAGAAAUAUAAUGUCCAGGGUUGUGCAAUCCACAU
Astatotilapia calliptera (eastern happy) is the source of this 6176-nucleotide long non-coding RNA. The record is from Ensembl. NCBI's taxonomy places the organism in Eukaryota, Metazoa, Chordata, Actinopteri, Cichliformes, Cichlidae.